ACGAGAAUAUUCCGCAAUGGACGAAAGUCUGACGGAGCGACGCCGCGUGAUGGAUGAAGUGCCUUGGUACGUAAACAUCUUUUAUCGGGGACGAAGUUUAUUGACGGUACCCGAUGAAUAAGGAGCUCCUAACUCUGUGCCAGCAGGAGCGGUAAUACAGAGGCUCCAAGCAUUACCCGGAAUCACUGGGCGUAAAGGGUGUCUAGGCGGCCAUAUUAGUCUCUCGUUAAAUGUCCGAGCUCAACUUGGUCACUGCGAGGGAAACGGUAUGGCUCGAGGGCGUGAGAGGUGCAUGGAACUCAUGGUGGAGGGGUGAAAUCCGUUGAUAUCAUGGGGAACACCAAAGGCGAAGGCAAUGCACUGGUACGUUCCUGACGCUCAAACACGAAAGCCAGGGUAGCGAAUGGGAUUAGAUACCCAUGUAGUCCCUGAGCGGGCUGGCAAGGCGCAU
This 451-nucleotide ribosomal RNA is filed under the name uncultured bacterium. Its description in RNAcentral is "bacterial SSU rRNA". It matches the Rfam family "Bacterial small subunit ribosomal RNA", at positions 355 to 825 of the family's 1533-position model. The record is from RNAcentral.